This 503-nucleotide ribosomal RNA is filed under the name uncultured bacterium. RNAcentral's name for it is "partial 16S ribosomal RNA". It matches the Rfam family "Bacterial small subunit ribosomal RNA", at positions 30 to 523 of the family's 1533-position model. The record is from RNAcentral.
AUUGAACGCUGGCGGCAGGCUUAACACAUGCAAGUCGAGCGGAGUGAUGGUGCUUGCACUAUCACUUAGCGGCGGACGGGUGAGUAAUGCUUAGGAAUCUGCCUAUUAGUGGGGGACAACAUCUCGAAAGGGAUGCUAAUACCGCAUACGUCCUACGGGAGAAAGCAGGGGAUCACUUGUGACCUUGCGCUAAUAGAUGAGCCUAAGUCGGAUUAGCUGGUUGGUGGGGUAAAGGCCUGCCAAGGCGACGAUCUGUAGCGGGUCUGAGAGGAUGAGCAGCCACACUGGGCCGGGGGCACGGCACAGACUGCUACGGGAGGCAGGAGGGGGGAAUAGUGGACAAUGGGGGGAACGCUGCUCCAGCCAUGCCGCGUGUGUGAAGAAGGCAUUAUGGUUGUAAAGCACUUUAAGCGAGGAGGAGGCUCUUUUGGUUAAUACCCAAGAUGAGUGGACGUUACUCGCAGAAUAAGCACCGGCUAACUCUGUGCCAGCAGCCGCGGUAA